UGUCCGGGGAUGGGAAUCGAACCCACAAUGUUCCGCUUACCGGGCAGAUGCCAUGUCCACUAGGCUACCCUGGAC
RNAcentral lists this transfer RNA (75 nucleotides) under Cordylochernes scorpioides. Its description in RNAcentral is "tRNA-Thr". The record is from RNAcentral. Lineage: Eukaryota; Metazoa; Arthropoda; Arachnida; Pseudoscorpiones; Chernetidae.